RNAcentral lists this ribosomal RNA (432 nucleotides) under uncultured bacterium. Its description in RNAcentral is "partial 16S ribosomal RNA". It matches the Rfam family "Bacterial small subunit ribosomal RNA", at positions 29 to 506 of the family's 1533-position model. The record is from RNAcentral.
AACGAACGCUGGCGGCAUGCCUAACACAUGCAAGUCGAACGAGACCUUCGGGCCUAGUGGCGCACGGGUGCGUAACGCGUGGGAACCUGCCCUUAGGUUCGGAAUAACUCCCCGAAAGGGGUGCUAAUACCGGAUAAUGUCUUCGGACCAAAGAUUUCUCGCCUUUGGAUGGGCCCGCGUUGGAUUAGCUAGUUGGGAGGGUAAAAGCCUACCAAGGCGACGAUCCAUAGCUGGUGUGUGAGGAUGCUCAGCCGCACUGGGACUGCGACACGGCCCAGACGCCUGCGGGAGGCAGCAGUGGGGAAUAUUGGACCAGGGGCGAAAGCCUGAUCCAGCACGGCCGCGUUAGUGAUGAAGGCCUUAGGGUUGUAAAGCUCUUUUACCCGAGAUGAUAAUGACAGUACCGGGAGAAUAAGCCCCGGCUAACUCCGU